AACAGGUGUGCAAAGUAUUUCCUAUAUGGUGAGAGAUUAGAAAGUGUAGAUGUACAAAGAGACCUGGGUGUCCUUGUCCAUAAGUCACUAAAGCUAACAUACAGUGGUUGUACAGUCAGAGGUGCUUGAGUCAUUGACAUGUUAAAGUAAUAUACCUGCACAGUAGCCCCUCAGUUCUGAUGUGAACAACCUGUUACUCCAGCUGUUGCUGCCAUCAGGACUUUGCUGCUGUGUGGACACG
This is a small nucleolar RNA of Carcharodon carcharias (great white shark), 241 nucleotides long. RefSeq annotates it as small nucleolar RNA SNORA53. Lineage: Eukaryota; Metazoa; Chordata; Chondrichthyes; Lamniformes; Lamnidae. The record is from RefSeq and is a predicted model, not a curated record. The transcript has a single exon.